GAGGUUGCAGUGAGCUGAGAUCAUGCCAUUGCACUCCAGCCUGGGAGACGGAGUAAGACUCUGUCUCAAAAACAAACAAACAAAACAAAACAAAAAACAGAGACGACCAUUCAUAAUCUGGCCAUCAAAAAGAGGCCAGGUUAGGCCAGGCGCAUUGGCUCAUGCCUGUAAUCCCAAAGUGUUGGGAUUACAGGUGUGAGCCACCAUGCCUGGCCAACCUCACACCUUAAGUAUGGCUAUAUCUCACUUGCAAGGUUAGGAUUGUUUCCUAACGUUGGCCCAUCACUAAAAAAGUUUUUAGUCUUAGAUAUCUUGCCCCAUCACCAAUUUACAUAGGUAAUUAGACCCACUGGGACAUACGAAGUACAGGAUAAAUUAGAGUAUAAUACAAAUCACUCCUCACUACUCUGUGUGGUUAAAUGUUGUGCUUUAAUUUUCCUGACUUCUUCCUCUAACGCACUGUGUCUCUGACAGCAAUUACACUGAAUCUCACCUCAAUCUUUCUCAGCAGGUUAUCUCAGUAAGAAUGCAGGAAUAAUAAUGUAAACUAACACCAGGAAGCUUGAGGGUUCUUUUCUCCUAAACUAGAACAUUCACUGAACAUCAUAGCCAAGUAACUGGGUAUGGUGUGUCCCCUCCCUAAACUUACCCGAGAUGAUAUCUGUGAGUAAGCGGUGGGGCAAGUGGAGAAAUUCCUCUGUAUUCUGCAGCUGGGCCAGGUGGGUCUUGGCACAGUGCUUGGCAGCCGUAUAGAGCUCAGGAUCACUGUGCCGAUCUGCCAGCCACAUCACCUGAAGGCAGUUUCCCACUUGCACUGUGCGGGCCAAAAACCGAGAGCAUUCCUCAAAGAGAGAUGUCA
This 859-nucleotide long non-coding RNA is filed under the name Homo sapiens (human). RNAcentral describes it as "LNC_000606". The record is from RNAcentral. Lineage: Eukaryota; Metazoa; Chordata; Mammalia; Primates; Hominidae.